RNAcentral lists this ribosomal RNA (119 nucleotides) under Triticum aestivum (bread wheat). RNAcentral also lists the same sequence under 1 other name. The record is from RNAcentral. Lineage: Eukaryota; Viridiplantae; Streptophyta; Magnoliopsida; Poales; Poaceae.
GGAUGCGAUCAUACCAGCACUAAAGCACCGGAUCCCAUCAAAACUCCGAAGUUAAGCGUGCUUGGGCGAGAGUAGUACUAGGUUGGGUGACCUCCUGGGAAGUCCUCGUGUUGCAUUCC